CUCCCCUCAUGUCUCCUCCUCUGGGUGUGUCAGAGGAGAAAACACUUCGUCUUGAUCUGAGAGCAGGACUGAGAGGGACACAGAGCAGCUUCUUCUCUCCUCAAGUUUCUUCACUCAUGGAAAAGAGUCUGUAAGAAGACGUGAAGAGAGUUCAGUGACUGAAGAUGUCAGAUGUGGAUGAAGAGGAGGGCAGGUCAGGUGUGGACAGGUUGUCUCUGAAGAGUGA
This is a long non-coding RNA of Salarias fasciatus (jewelled blenny), 226 nucleotides long. RefSeq lists it as uncharacterized. The record is from RefSeq and is a predicted model, not a curated record. NCBI's taxonomy places the organism in Eukaryota, Metazoa, Chordata, Actinopteri, Blenniiformes, Blenniidae. The transcript has 3 exons.